CUUUGAAUGAGGUCACUCCAAGUGGGGGAGCAACAGGAGGGUCACCAAUAUUUCCUAAGUGCAGAGCUCCCUGGGGUGAUUUUAGGUGGAACACAGUAGGCUCCACGGAGUCUGAAACCCUUUCCUGGCACUAAGGACACUUUGGAGCCUUGAAGAACAUCUAUUCCUGGGCCAUCUUGUAGCUGACUCUUCUCUGGACCAAGUUCUCUUUAGCCUCCAGGGCUCUUUGUGAAACUACCUUCCUCUUAUCCUUCAAAUUUGGUGGGACAGCUGGAGUCUUCCCAGGAGCAGGCAUCUGAAACGGCACAUAGCAGUGGAUGCAAAACGGCAGUUUGCUGAACUGAAUUCUAUGGGUUAUGAUGAUGAUGAAGAAAUGAAAUGUGCAUGAAAGCUCCAAGCACAGUGCCUGGCUUUUGGGAGGCAUUUAGCAAAUGGGAGUCAAAGCUGAAUUUGAAUGACUCUCCCCUGUGGAAGCAGAACUGGAGCCCCUGGCCCAGAUUGUGAGAUGGAGCCCCAGGGUUUCAACCCUCUUCUCCGGGACCCCCGUCGGACCAGCCGCAGAGGACCUUUGUCUGUCCCCCUCACAGGGGCCCCUCCCCUAGCGCGGACCUCCCGGCCUCUCUCCACACGGGCAGCAGCUUCUGCGGCCCCUCUGGGGCGGUGGGCGUCCGUGUGUCGGCACAGCCCGGCUGGGCCCCUCUCCAGGGAAGGGGCUGCAGGGUGUGAAGGACUGGUGUGUGUGACUUUGUUUAUUUUCUCUAAAGGAUCCUGCCUGAGCCCUGCUAUAAAAAUAACCUGCCUGGAAACCUCAUCUCCGAGGGGGAGAAAGAAGCUUUUGUAUCCAAAGAAGUGGCUCUAAGGGCCUCCCUGUACCUUCGUCCCAGCCCCACGCAUCAGGGAGGAGCUGGCUGAGGCAAUGGGGGGCCAGGGCCCACGUGAGAGGGGCGGGGGGGAGGGCUGCCAGUGGAGGGCAUGGAGGAGGGGGCGAGGGAGGAAAGGAAGGGGCAGGGGGAGGAGAAUGCGGAGGGGAGGCUCUCAGCAGCCUCUCUGCUAGCAGGCUGAAGCAUCUCCAUGCCUGCUUAACCCAGGAAGUUCUAAAGAAGGACAGAGGACCAGAGGGGAGAAAGAAGAAAUCAACAAGAGAUACUCUGGAUACCAAGAGAGGAACAAAGAGGAAAAUCAAGUUCAAUAGAGAGGAGAGACACAGAGAGGAGACCAAAGUUAAAGCAGAAAGAAAACAGUGAGAAAUGUUAUGAGAAACAGACCUGGAGCUCGAGGGAUCAGGCCGGGGCCAUGUUUUCAGAUGAAGCUUAGGAUCUGGUCCAAUUCCUGGGAUCCAUACUGUGUGUGCAGCCCCCCACCCCCCCACCCCCCCCAACAAGGGGGAAGGCCAGGCCGGGGUAGACCUGGGCUCCGUUGGCCCAUUUAUGCUCAGCUGCUCUGGCUCAUACUGGGCAAGGCAUGAAGACGAGACUGACUCGGGUUUCUCAGGAUAUUCCUUCCCCAGAGCCAGGUCCAAAGGCAAGAAACGAAUCCUAUGGGAGUAAAGGGAACAGGCCUUGGAUUCAGGAGGCCUAGGUUUAAGUCACAGCUCUCCCACUUUUGAGCUGGGUGGUCUUGUACAAACCAUUUAAAGUCUUAUCUGUAAAGUCGAAAAAUAACAAGUCCCCCCGCCCCAAACUCCCAGGGCCAUGGGGCAGAUCCACUGAAGGGUAUCCAAUGGACUAAGCUGUACCGUGCCAGCAAGACCACAAGAGGGGAUGGCCCAACUGGACACAUUUCUCCAGGCACUGGCAAUGGGUGGAUGUUGACCUAGAAAUCAUCAGUCUUAGUAACCAGACCACUCACGCCACCUGAAAGCUGCAGGAGAGGCUCUCCCUGAUGCAGAAAGGUCAAAGAGGAGCCUCCAGCAUCAGUCAUUUGGAAAAGAAUAGGUUCUAAUACUAACCAUGUAAGUGAAGUCCCUUGCUGUAAGAAAUCACCCAUAGUUCUUCAUCACCAAAACUUGGGAUGGAGCCACUUAGAAUCAGAGUUUGGUAGGACAUGUGCCAUCCAAGACACCCUUGAAACUUCUGUUUAGGAGGGAAGUUUAUGGGGCCACCCUAGGGGGACAUACAAUCUCCCUGGGACUUGGAGCUGGUGUUCUUUGAGUGACACGGGUCAGAGAGGAGAGGGGAGUCUAGGAUACCUUACAGCAACUUCUGGAGGGAGAAAUGAGAAUGUGGAAAGUCUAUAGAGGAAGCUCUACUUUGGGAACAAAGAGCCAGGCAGCACAGCUGUCCAGCAAAGAUAGGGGAGUGCUCGGCCACGACCACAGGCAGGCUGUUGGCACUGCAGGGCCUAAAGUGGUCCCUGUGGCCUGAGGCUGAACAGAGUCCUAAGGAGGAAGGAAGCAGGGAGUGGGGCUGCCGCAACAGAGCUGCUCUGAAAUAGAAUGGAGAAGGCUUGGUGAUGCUUCUGGGGCUGUACCCCAAACUGAUCAUUAGCAAUGCAUCUGAAAACUAAUUCACGGCAUGUACUCAGGAUGCUAAUAACAAUGAUCAUUCCAAAAAAAAAAUGGUUAGCACUCCUAUCUGCAGGGCAGGACUAGAGACUCAGGCAAAGAGAACAGA
Molecule: long non-coding RNA, 2612 nt
Organism: Cervus elaphus (red deer)
Lineage: Eukaryota; Metazoa; Chordata; Mammalia; Artiodactyla; Cervidae
Exons: 3
Source: RefSeq, a predicted model, not a curated record